GAUGAACGCUGGCGGCGUGCCUAAUACAUGCAAGUCGAGCGAACGGACGAGAAGCUUGCUUCUCUGAUGUUAGCGGCGGACGGGUGAGUAACACGUGGAUAACCUACCUAUAAGACUGGGAUAACUUCGGGAAACCGGAGCUAAUACCGGAUAAUCUUUUGAACCGCAUGGUUCAAAAGUGAAAGACGGUCUUGCUGUCACUUAUAGAUGGAUCCGCGCUGCAUUAGCUAGUUGGUAAGGUAACGGCUUACCAAGGCAACGAUGCAUAGCCGACCUGAGAGGGUGAUCGGCCACACUGGAACUGAGACACGGUCCAGACGCCUACGGGAGGCAGCAGUAGGGAAUCGUCCGCAAUGGGCGAAAGCCUGACGGAGCAACGCCGCGUGAGUGAUGAAGGUCUUCGGAUCGUAAAACUCUGUUAUUAGGGAAGAACAUAUGUGUAAGUAACUGUGCACAGCUUGACGGUACCUAAUCAGAAAGCCACGGCUAACUACGUG
This 497-nucleotide ribosomal RNA is filed under the name uncultured bacterium. RNAcentral's name for it is "partial 16S ribosomal RNA". It matches the Rfam family "Bacterial small subunit ribosomal RNA", at positions 28 to 507 of the family's 1533-position model. The record is from RNAcentral.